RNAcentral lists this ribosomal RNA (477 nucleotides) under uncultured bacterium. RNAcentral describes it as "partial 16S ribosomal RNA". It matches the Rfam family "Bacterial small subunit ribosomal RNA", at positions 28 to 507 of the family's 1533-position model. The record is from RNAcentral.
GAUGAACGCUGGCGGCGUGCCUAACACAUGCAAGUCGAACGAAGCACCUUACCUUAUUCUUCGUGUGAAAGUUUGGUGACUGAGUGUCGGACGGGUGAGUAACGCGUGGGUAACCUGCCCUGUACAGGGGGAUAACAGCUGGAAACGGCUGCUAAUACCGCAUACGCGCACGAGGAGACAUCUCCUUGUGUGAAAAACUCCGGUGGUACAGGAUGGGCCCGCGUCUGAUUAGCUGGUCGGCAGGGUAACGGCAUACCAAGGCAACGAAGAGUAGCCGGGAGGGGAGGAGGACCGGUUACAUUUGAAAUACGGCACAGACCAAAAUGGGAGGGAGGAGAGGGGAAGGGAAUACUGUAGGAGGGAGGAAGACGUAACGAAGCAGCGCGGGGGAAGAGAAGAAUCAGGUCGGUAACCGAAGCCGCAUCAGAAGAGGAGAGAGUGACGGUAACUGACUAAGAAGCUCCGGCUAAAUACGUG